GGUGAAUGCUGGCGGCGUGGAUAAGUCAUGCAAGUCAAGGGGGCCCGCAAGGGCAACCGGCAAACGAGGUAGUAACACGUAGGUAGACCCCCCCAGAGUCGGGCAUAGCCAGCCGAAAGGUUGGGUAAUUCCCGAUAGUCCCGAAAGGGUAAAGGUUUUUCGCUCUGGGAGUUGCCUGCGUAGUAUCAGCUAGUUGGUAGGGUAAUGGCCUACCAAGGCUACGACGCUUAGGGGAGCUGAGAGGCUGACCCCCACCGAUGGAACUGCGACACGGUCCAUACUCCUACGGGAGGCUGCAGACGAGAAUAUUCCGCAAUGGGCGAAAGCCUGACGGAGCGACGCCGCGUGAUUGAUGAAGUGCUUCGGUACGUAAAGAUCUUUUAUCGGGGACGAAGUUUAUUGACGGUACCCGAUGAAUAAGGGGCUCCUAACUACUGUGCCAGCAGCCGCGGUAAU
This 456-nucleotide ribosomal RNA is filed under the name uncultured bacterium. RNAcentral describes it as "bacterial SSU rRNA". It matches the Rfam family "Bacterial small subunit ribosomal RNA", at positions 28 to 524 of the family's 1533-position model. The record is from RNAcentral.